Molecule: long non-coding RNA, 383 nt
Filed under: Nicotiana benthamiana
Lineage: Eukaryota; Viridiplantae; Streptophyta; Magnoliopsida; Solanales; Solanaceae
Description: long non-coding RNA (NBEN_LNC033353)
Source: RNAcentral
UAUAACAGUGAAACAUUUGUCAGAAAGAAAGAAUACUUGAGAAAAAUAUCUUUAUGAUUAAAAUUAAUAAAAAUCAUUUCAAAAUAAUGUGUUUUUUUUUAAAACGAAUAAUAUGAACCAUAUAAAGUAUUAUUUGAUCCUUAUAACCUCUUCUGGGAACUCCGAAUUCAUUCAACCUAUAUAUUUAAACGAAAUUACCUCAGCCUUUAAAAGAAGCUAAUCUUUUUAUUGUGUCAAACUAAUGUAGCACAAAUAAAGUUCCAACUAAACAUCUCACCAAUAUUUUUAUAUGUGAUUUAUUUGUAAAUUUUCUUAUUUUUUUCACUCUUCAAAUAUUAUCUAUCCUAGUCCCAUUUUCGUAAAGGAAGCUUCAAGUAUCAAAA